CAGGGAGUAGUUUAAGAAUUUAAAAUGUCAGCUUUGGAAGUUGGUGAUGAGUAUAUUUCCUUUUCUCUGA
Molecule: transfer RNA, 70 nt
Filed under: Glyptotermes sp.
Lineage: Eukaryota; Metazoa; Arthropoda; Insecta; Blattodea; Kalotermitidae
Description: tRNA-Pro
Source: RNAcentral